RNAcentral lists this ribosomal RNA (420 nucleotides) under Fusobacteriota bacterium. Its description in RNAcentral is "Fusobacteria bacterium partial 16S ribosomal RNA". It matches the Rfam family "Bacterial small subunit ribosomal RNA", at positions 355 to 776 of the family's 1533-position model. The record is from RNAcentral. Lineage: Bacteria; Fusobacteriati; Fusobacteriota.
UGGGGGAUAUUGCACAAUGGGCGAAAGCCUGAUGCAGCGACGCCGCGUGGGGGAUGAAGGCCUUCGGGUUGUAAACUUCUUUUGCUCUGAACAAGGCAUGCCUUUUGGGUGUGUUGAGUGUAGGGGUUGAUUAGCGCCGGCUAACUACGUGCCAGCAGCCGCGGUAAUACGUAGGGCGCGAGCGUUGUCCGGAAUUAUUGGGCGUAAAGGGCUUGUAGGUGGCUGGUUGCGUCUGUCGUGAAAGCUCAUGGCUUAACUGUGGGUUUGCGGUGGGUACGGGCUGGCUUGAGUGCAGUAGGGGAGGCUGGAAUUCCUGGUGUAGCGGUGGAAUGCGCAGAUAUCAGGAGGAAUACCGGUGGCGAAGGCGGGUCUCUGGGCUGUUACUGACGCUGAGGAGCGAAAGCGUGGGGAGCGAACAGG